Molecule: ribosomal RNA, 778 nt
Filed under: uncultured Neocallimastigales
Lineage: Eukaryota; Fungi; Neocallimastigomycota; Neocallimastigomycetes; Neocallimastigales
Description: partial large subunit ribosomal RNA
Rfam family: Eukaryotic large subunit ribosomal RNA
Source: RNAcentral
UAUCUCUGUAGAGUCUGCAUAUCAAUAAGCGGAGGAAAAGAAACUAACUAAGGAUUCCCUUAGUAACGGCGAGUGAAGCGGGAAGAGCUCAAAUUUGAAAUCUUCAAGGUUUUACCUUGACGAAUUGUAGUUUAAAGAAGUGUUUUCUGUUGAAGUUUUGGUAAAAGUUCUUUGGAAUAGGACAUCAUAGAGGGUGAGAAUCCCGUAUUUGACCAUUACUUUCCAGCUGUUGUGAUACACUUUCAAAGAGUCGGAUUGUUUGGGAAUGCAGUCCCAAAAUGGGUGGUAAAUUUCAUCUAAAGCUAAAUAUUGGCGAGAGACCGAUAGCGAACAAGUACUGUGAGGGAAAGAUGAAAAGAACUUUGAAAAGAGAGUUAAACAGUACGUGAAAUUGUCAAAAGGGAAGCGUUUGACAUCAGUGUUGUUUUCUCGAAAAUCAAUUAAAAAAAGUUGGAUUUUGUAUUGUUAAGACCUUAUCAGCUUACUGUACUCUUUUCUUGCUUUUUUUAAUGCACUUUUCGUUUAACAAGUCAACAUCAAUUUCUUUUGUUGUAAAAGAGUCAUUGGAAGGUGGCUUUCACUUCGGUGAAGGUGUUUAUAGCCUUUGGCUUCUGCAAUCGGAGAGAUUGAGGUCUGCAGCGUAGAUCCUUCGGGGCUAGAUACGUAGAUGCUAAGUUAUAGUUUUUUAUAGACAACUUGUUGACUAUAAUUAGUCAUGUAGCUUACUCGUUUGCGCUAUUUUACCUACGCUUAGGAUGUUGACGAUCAGCUGAGCGCG